Molecule: long non-coding RNA, 945 nt
Organism: Dermacentor albipictus
Lineage: Eukaryota; Metazoa; Arthropoda; Arachnida; Ixodida; Ixodidae
Source: RefSeq, a predicted model, not a curated record
GUUCGCAAGCCGGACCACGUGUGCCGCCACCAUCGUCGACGAAGCGCAGCUUGUAACUAGCUGGGGGCGUUUCCUAUCACAUUGGCUGUGGCGGUGGAGCGCAAAGGACACGGCACUUAUCGCUCUUUCUGUGUUUCUCAGAUGUCACCUGUACCGUCUGGCGAUCGCGUACUCGAACUCUACGGCGCUGCAGGUCUCCACAGAGCGACGAUGAGAGUUCAAGCUGCGCAAGUGUUAUCCAGAGCGCCGUCUUCGAGCGCAACGAUGGCCUGGCGGUAUUGGAUUCGCACCCCACUCAUGAACUUCACCCGAGAACACGUCGUUCAUGUUAAAGAGGACAAUUGUGCUAAGAACUGGCGCCGACAAUCCACGCAUCCGCCUGGUCCGGUGUGGCGGUCGACGUCAGUCGGAAGACAUGGCUUAGAACAGUGCCCAGGCGCCGCGUCGAAGCAACGACAAUCAGCGCCGCUCUCGACAGGUUUGGUCGACACUGGCCACUCAACGCUGACAGUUAGCCUACACUGACCGUGUGUGCGCUGACGCAUGAGCGCACACAGUAAUGGCGGAAAUUUUUGCUUGGCGAGCAUUCGUCUGAAGAGGUAAUGUAUGUCACUGGACACUUUUGAGAAAUAGAAUGUUGUCUAGGAAAGAGCCCGUCUUAUCAUUUUUACGAACGAAAACAAGCUAAAAAGCUAUUUUAAACGACCAGUACAGUUAACUAGAGCUAACAAACGGCUCCAAUAUAAUAGUUGCGCGACGUUCACAGCGCCCCUGAAGGUAGUGCUCGGGGCUAAUAAAGAGUAAAGCCCUCUUAUUCAACGCGUUUUAAUAAAAAGCGCCCAUGGCCAGCAACAGCAUGAGCCUUCGCUCUUGAUUACAAGCAGCUAUGUAGUCGAGCUGACCGCUCUUUAGGUAUCGACUUAAUUAAACUUUUGUUGUUCGUUA